UCCUUUGUUGCCAGCGGUCCGGCCGGGAACUCAAAGGAGACUGCCAGUGAUAAACUGGAGGAAGGUGGGGAUGACGUCAAGUCAUCAUGGCCCUUACGACCAGGGCUACACACGUGCUACAAUGGCGCAUACAAAGAGAAGCGACCUCGCGAGAGCAAGCGGACCUCAUAAAGUGCGUCGUAGUCCGGAUUGGAGUCUGCAACUCGACUCCAUGAAGUCGGAAUCGCUAGUAAUCGUGGAUCAGAAUGCCACGGUGAAUACGUUCCCGGGCCUUGUACACACCGCCCGUCACACCAUGGGAGUGGGUUGCAAAAGAAGUAGGUAGCUUAACCUUCGGGAGGGCGCUUACCACUUUGUGAUUCAUGACUGGGGUGAAGUCGUAACAAGGUAACCGUAGGGGAACCUGCGGUUGGA
Molecule: ribosomal RNA, 414 nt
Filed under: Escherichia coli
Lineage: Bacteria; Pseudomonadati; Pseudomonadota; Gammaproteobacteria; Enterobacterales; Enterobacteriaceae
Also listed under: 1 other name
Description: bacterial SSU rRNA
Rfam family: Bacterial small subunit ribosomal RNA
Source: RNAcentral